This 253-nucleotide unclassified non-coding RNA is filed under the name uncultured Alphaproteobacteria bacterium. RNAcentral's name for it is "contains 16S-23S intergenic spacer region". It matches the Rfam family "Bacterial small subunit ribosomal RNA", at positions 524 to 776 of the family's 1533-position model. The record is from RNAcentral. Lineage: Bacteria; Pseudomonadati; Pseudomonadota; Alphaproteobacteria.
UACGAAGGGGGCUAGCGUUGUUCGGAAUUACUGGGCGUAAAGCGCACGUAGGCGGCGAGCAUAGGCAGGUGUGAAAGCCCCGGGCUCAACCCGGGAACUGCACUUGAUACUGGCUUGCUAGAGUUCGGGGGAGGAGAGUGGAAUUCCCAGUGUAGAGGUGAAAUUCGUAGAUAUUAGGAAGAACACCAGUGGCGAAGGCGGCUCACUGGUCCGGUAAUGACGCUGAGUUGCGAAAGCGUGGGGAGCAAACAGG